UCUACGGAGUCGGCAAAAGUGGACAGCCUUUGUCUUUUCCUCCGACAGCACAAACCCGACCGCAUUGGCGUUACUACAGAUUUUGUUUAUGGCCACUUGUAGACUUCGAGUUAUUGCACCGACCGUCUUACCAGAACAACAAACCAUUAAAUCAUCAACAUACAAACAUUUAUCAAUCAUCCCCUCAACACCUUUAGCUAUUUCGUUUAUGGCGAUGCCAAACAGGGAACAGCUAAGUGUUGACCCCUGCGGCACACCAUUUUCUAAAACAUACUCUUUUGAGUGGAUGUCACCGAUUCUUACAACAAACUUUCUGUUCUCUAGAAAGGAUUGUAUAAAUUUUGGUAACUUCCCUCGAAGAUUGUAUUUAUACAUAUUCUGCAAUAUUCCAUAUCACCAAGUCAUGUCGUAAGCGCCCUUUAUAUCAAAGAAAACCGCAAGCAGGUGUUCACCACUGUCAAAUGCACUCAGAAUUCUAUCGGUCAAUUUGACCAAAUGGUCAGCCGUUGCCCGUCCCUUCCGAAAACCCGUUUGAUAAGUUUUCCCAAGCAAGACGUUAAACUAAUUGGGCGAUAACUUUGUGCCAGCAACGGAUCUUUUCCAGGUUUCGGUAUAGGAAUGACAACGGCCUGUUUCCAUUCCGAGGGGAGUACAGUGAUGAAACAUCUGGUUGUGGAUUUCGUCUUCUCCCGGUGAACAUGACUUGGUGUUACGGAUAGCGAUAUUCAACUCUUCUAAGACGACCACCACGGAACCAUUUUUGCUUUAUUGCCAGGUUUGGAUUUUGGAAUACUGGCGUUCGCAGCGUCUAAUAUAGCAGAUGUAAGAGUUUUUAAACUUAAGCUAUCUAGGGCUGGAGGGACGAACUUACUUGCAAAAAGUUCCCAAUCUGCUUGUGGGAUCUUAAAUCUAGCCACUGAUCUUAUCGUGGGAUUUUUGCCUCUAACAGAAAUGAUUAUGGGAAAAUGAUCGCUGUGAUGGAGAUCAGUUUCCACCUCCCAUUCAAAAUUACAGUAUAUA
This is a long non-coding RNA of Photinus pyralis (common eastern firefly), 1020 nucleotides long. RefSeq lists it as uncharacterized. The record is from RefSeq and is a predicted model, not a curated record. The transcript is spliced from 4 exons. NCBI's taxonomy places the organism in Eukaryota, Metazoa, Arthropoda, Insecta, Coleoptera, Lampyridae.